This 218-nucleotide ribosomal RNA is filed under the name uncultured bacterium. RNAcentral describes it as "partial 16S ribosomal RNA". It matches the Rfam family "Bacterial small subunit ribosomal RNA", at positions 1285 to 1500 of the family's 1533-position model. The record is from RNAcentral.
AUCCCAGUUCGGAUUGCAGGCUGCAACCCGCCUGUAUGAAGUUGGAAUCGCUAGUAAUCGCGGGUCAGCAUACCGCGGUGAAUACGUUCCCGGGCCUUGUACACACCGCCCGUCACACCACGAAAGUUGGUAACACCCGAAGCCGGUGGCCUAACCCUUAGGGGAGGGAGCUGUCGAAGGUGGGACUGAUGAUUGGGGUGAAGUCGUAACAAGGUACC